RNAcentral lists this ribosomal RNA (756 nucleotides) under uncultured bacterium. RNAcentral describes it as "bacterial SSU rRNA". It matches the Rfam family "Bacterial small subunit ribosomal RNA", at positions 66 to 795 of the family's 1533-position model. The record is from RNAcentral.
AUUGACGGUGCUUGCACCUGAUUGACGUUGGAUUACCAACGAGUGGCGGACGGGUGAGUAACACGUAGGCAACCUGCCCAGAAGCGGGGGACAACAUUUGGAAACAAGUGCUAAUACCGCAUAAAUCCUCAAACCGCAUGGUUUGAGGCUGAAAGAUGGUUUCGGCUAUCACUUCUGGAUGGGCCUGCGGCGCAUUAGCUUGUUGGUGGGGUAACGGCCUACCAAGGCUAUGAUGCGUAGCCGAGUUGAGAGACUGAUCGGCCACAAUGGAACUGAGACACGGUCCAUACUCCUACGGGAGGCAGCAGUAGGGAAUCUUCCACAAUGGGCGCAAGCCUGAUGGAGCAACACCGCGUGAGUGAAGAAGGGUUUCGGCUCGUAAAGCUCUGUUGUUGAAGAAGAACGUGCGUGAGAGUAACUGUUCACGCACUGACGGUAUUCAACCAGAAAGUCACGGCUAACUACGUGCCAGCAGCCGCGGUAAUACGUAGGUGGCAAGCGUUAUCCGGAUUUAUUGGGCGUAAAGCGAGCGCAGGCGGUUUGCUAAGUCUGAUGUGAAAGCCUUCGGCUUAACCGGAGAAGUGCAUCGGAAACUGGCUCACUUGAGUGCAGAAGAGGACAGUGGAACUCCAUGUGUAGCGGUGGAAUGCGUAGAUAUAUGGAAGAACACCAGUGGCGAAGGCGGCUGUCUGGUCUGCAACUGACGCUGAGGCUCGAAAGCAUGGGUAGCGAACAGGAUUAGAUACCCUGGUAGUC